CCCUUAGAUGUUCUGGGCCGCACGCGUGCUACACUGAGUGGAUCAGCGGGUCAGGUUGCGCGAAAGCGUUUCCUAAUCUUUAAAUCCGCUCGUGAUGGGGAUUGACGGUUGCAAUUUUCUGUCAUGAACGAGGAAUACCUUGUAAGCGCGGGUCAUCAUCCCGCGCUGAAUACGUCCCUGCCCUUUGUAUACACCGCCCGUCGCUCCUACCGAUUGAGUGGUCCGGUGAGGCUUUGGGAUCUGAGCGGAAAGAGCGUUUCGCUGUUUCUGCUCGGAAAACUCAGUCGAACCUUAUCAUUUAGAGGAAGGAGAAGUCGUAACA
Molecule: ribosomal RNA, 322 nt
Filed under: uncultured eukaryote
Lineage: Eukaryota
Description: partial 18S ribosomal RNA
Rfam family: Eukaryotic small subunit ribosomal RNA
Source: RNAcentral